This is a long non-coding RNA of Neopelma chrysocephalum (saffron-crested tyrant-manakin), 374 nucleotides long. RefSeq lists it as uncharacterized. Lineage: Eukaryota; Metazoa; Chordata; Aves; Passeriformes; Pipridae. The record is from RefSeq and is a predicted model, not a curated record. The transcript is spliced from 3 exons.
CCCUGGUCCAUGGUUGCUGCUUCCUUGGCAAGCCCCAAGCACAGCCCCAGUCAGGGCACUGGGACAGAUCCGGCCCCAGCUUCUGGAAGCUGCUGGAGGACAUCCAGCAUAAGGAAUGAAAACAAAGAAUUUUCAAGAGACCAAGGCCAAAGGAUUACUCAAUCAAGGAGAGAGAGAUUAACUCAGUUUCGUGCUGUUGCAAACUGGGAACGGUUUCACUGGUUGUAGUGGGCUGACAAGUCAAAAUCCACCCUAUGCUCAGCUCUGAUUAACCUUGGACUCUGCUACAUUCAACCUGCACGAGACCAGUCCGUGGUGCAAUAAAAGCUUCCGGAAAACGGGCUGAAGUCCAGGAAAAGGGAGCGCAGGAUCCA